CUGGAGGUAUCAGAAGUGCGAAUGCUGACAUAAGUAACGAUAAAGCGGGUGAAAAGCCCGCUCGCCGGAAGACCAAGGGUUCCUGUCCAACGUUAAUCGGGGCAGGGUGAGUCGACCCCUAAGGCGAGGCCGAAAGGCGUAGUCGAUGGGAAACGGGUUAAUAUUCCCGUACUUGGUGUUACUGCGAAGGGGGGACGGAGAAGGCUAUGUUGGCCGGGCGACGGUUGUCCCGGUUUAAGCGUGUAGGUGUGUGUUCCAGGUAAAUCCGGUUCACUUUAACACUGAGGCGUGA
RNAcentral lists this ribosomal RNA (292 nucleotides) under Salmonella enterica subsp. enterica serovar Heidelberg. RNAcentral's name for it is "partial 23S ribosomal RNA". It matches the Rfam family "Bacterial large subunit ribosomal RNA", at positions 1273 to 1566 of the family's 2925-position model. RNAcentral also lists the same sequence under 8 other names. Lineage: Bacteria; Pseudomonadati; Pseudomonadota; Gammaproteobacteria; Enterobacterales; Enterobacteriaceae. The record is from RNAcentral.